This 576-nucleotide ribosomal RNA is filed under the name uncultured Bacteroidota bacterium. Its description in RNAcentral is "bacterial SSU rRNA". It matches the Rfam family "Bacterial small subunit ribosomal RNA", at positions 338 to 916 of the family's 1533-position model. Lineage: Bacteria; Pseudomonadati; Bacteroidota. The record is from RNAcentral.
CCUACGGGAGGCAGCAGUGAGGAAUAUUGGUCAAUGGGCGCAAGCCUGAACCAGCGACGCCGCGUGCGGGAUGAAGGGGCUUUGCCUCGUAAACCGCUGUCGGAUGGGACGAAAGGUGGCUUUAAGCCACUGGGACGGUACCAUCAAAGGAAGGAUCGGCUAACUACGUGCCAGCAGCCGCGGUAAUACGGAGGAUGCAAGCGUUAUCCGGAUUUAUUGGGUUUAAAGGGUGCGUAGGCGGUUGGAUAAGUCAGCGGUGAAAGUUUUCUGCUUAACAGGAAAAAUGCCGUUGAUACUGUCUGGCUAGAAUAUGGUUGCUGUGAGUGGAAUGGAUGGUGUAGCGGUGAAAUGCAUAGAUAUCAUCCAGAACGUCAAUUGCGAAGGCAGCUGGCUGUACUUUUUCUGACACUGAGGCACGAAAGUGUGGGGAUCAAACAGGAUUAGAUACCCUGGUAGUCCACACUGUAAACGAUGCGAACUAGCUUUUUGGCUUUAGAGUUGAGAGGCUAAGGGAAACCGAUAAGUUCGCCACCUGGGGAGUACGCCGGCAACGGUGAAACUCAAAGGAAUUGACGG